GGUGAACGCUGGCGGUAGGCCUAACACAUGCCAGUCGAACGGCAGCACAGUAAGAGCUUGCUCUUACGGGUGGCGAGUGGCGGACGGGUGAGGAAUACAUCGGAAUCUACUUUUUCGUGGGGGGUAACGUAGGGAAACUUACGCUAAUACCGCAUACGACCUACGGGUGAAAGCAGGGGAUCUUCGGACCUUGCGCGAUUGAAUGAGCCGAUGUCGGAUUAGCUAGUUGGCGGGGUAAAGGCCCACCAAGGCGACGAUCCGUAGCUGGUCUGAGAGGAUGAUCAGCCACACUGGAACUGAGACACGGUCCAGACUCCUACGGGAGGCAGCAGUGGGGAAUAUUGGACAAUGGGCGCAAGCCUGAUCCAGCCAUACCGCGUGGGUGAAGAAGGCCUUCGGGUUGUAAAGCCCUUUUGUUGGGAAAGAAAAGCAGCAGGUUAAUACCCCGCUGUUCUGACGGUACCCAAAGAAUAAGCACCGGCUAACUUCGUG
This 492-nucleotide ribosomal RNA is filed under the name uncultured bacterium. Its description in RNAcentral is "partial 16S ribosomal RNA". It matches the Rfam family "Bacterial small subunit ribosomal RNA", at positions 28 to 507 of the family's 1533-position model. The record is from RNAcentral.